UACGGAGGGUGCGAGCGUUGUCCGGAAUCAUUGGGCGUAAAGGGCGCGUAGGUGGCCACUUCAAGCGUGCGGUGAAAGUCGGGGGCUCAACCCCUGAUCGGCCGUGCGAACUGGGGGGCUGGAGCACUGUAGAGGCAGGCGGAAUUCCGGGUGUAGCGGUGGAAUGCGUAGAGAUCCGGAAGAACACCGGUGGCGAAGGCGGCCUGCUGGGCAGUUUUGCUGACACUGAGGCGCGACAGCGUGGGGAGCAAACGGG
Molecule: ribosomal RNA, 256 nt
Filed under: uncultured bacterium
Lineage: Bacteria
Description: partial 16S ribosomal RNA
Rfam family: Bacterial small subunit ribosomal RNA
Source: RNAcentral